This is a long non-coding RNA of Daphnia magna, 692 nucleotides long. RefSeq lists it as uncharacterized. The record is from RefSeq and is a predicted model, not a curated record. Lineage: Eukaryota; Metazoa; Arthropoda; Branchiopoda; Diplostraca; Daphniidae. The transcript is spliced from 2 exons.
GUCUUCAUUGGCGCCGCCGCCGCGUUAUUAUGAAAUCAAAACGAUGAAUUGGGUUGGUUAUUUCAAUUUUAAAAAAACAAAAACUGAACGAUUCAGAGGGCACAAACAAUCACUUUGAAUUCGUAUUGAUCGUCAUUGUGUGCUAGAAUGACUCAUCUGUCGUGUCGCCGAACAGAAGCGCAGCACACACACGUGCCGUGUUUAAAUGAGAGAACGGCGUGCUGUUGCCAUGGUAACCGUCGUGCCCUUUACCCAAACAAAACGGCGAACAAACACAACGCGUUACGAAGAGCGGAACAGCGAAACAGUUCGCGGAGCGACAGUCACACACACGAGGGGGCUGCUCUCUCUCUCCACUUAUUUUUUUUUCAGAGAAAAUGACGCUCAAUUGAUAAAUAAUGACUGCAAAAAUAGUUUGUGUGUGCAUGUGGACGGAUGGAUGCGCCGUAUCAAAUUGUCUACUCAGCACCGUCGAUAUAGAAGAAAUUUAAAUAAAAAAACAAAACAAAAUGGAGACGGACGGCGACGAUUUUCUCAGCCAUUCGGUUCGGGCUCUUUUCAGGUGAAAAGGUCAGCGGAAGUUGCGAUGAAAAAGUUCACAAGUUCAAUGAAAUGACUGAAGGUUGUUUUCUGUGUGUGUGUUCAUAUUUUUUUUUCUUCUUCUUGGAAAUUCAUUUUAUUUUUGAAAUCUU